AUUAGUAGAUCUAAUGAUAGGUAGGUUGUUAUCGAACCAUUUUUAUACUCAAACUUUAAUUUUAGAAUAACACAUGGCGUUCCGCGAAACUUCCUAUGCCUAUAGCUAAGAUUACCAAAGAACCCGAGAAAUCUUAUACUUAAGCAUGCAUUAUAAACGAGUUCAAUUCAGUUCACCUUAGUAAAUAGGCCGAUUCUUAUUACACACCUAAGACCAGGCUCAUCAAAUAAUAGUUUCAACUACAGUGACUUCAUACCUAUGGCGGGUAUAUCUAUUGUCUGGAUUCAAGUUCUAGUUAAUUACUAUAGAACUAGCAUUAAGAAAAUUUAAAGAUGAAGAAUUCUACAGAUAACCUAGCAAAGAGCCGAUCUACUAAACCAUAUGAAUCCCUAAUGAGAAACCCUAACCUUAACAAGCAAACUACUCAGACGUGGAGAUUAAAACAAGCAACAUAUAUGAGUAAGAAAGCAUAAACAAUUCAGUAAAAGAAAGAGUUAGAAAAGAUCUCUUCACUGUAUUGAAAUCUGAAUGAAUCUCUGAAAACAAGGGAUGAAUAGCUUAUGUCUCUAAGAGAAAACUUGAUAAAAAGCUUGAUAGAUCUAAUGACCUCUAAUACUAUUUAU
Molecule: small RNA, 623 nt
Filed under: Arabidopsis thaliana (thale cress)
Lineage: Eukaryota; Viridiplantae; Streptophyta; Magnoliopsida; Brassicales; Brassicaceae
Description: ATSL263660
Source: RNAcentral